GGCGUCAUAGCUCAGCUGGGAGAGCAACAGACUGAAGUCGAGUGAUCACAAAAUUGUUCAUCUGGAGGUCCCGUGUUCAAUCCACGGUGAUGCCA
This is a non-coding RNA of Roridomyces roridus, 95 nucleotides long. The record is from the annotation of a GenBank genome assembly. Lineage: Eukaryota; Fungi; Basidiomycota; Agaricomycetes; Agaricales; Mycenaceae.